UGGCCAAUAUCAAAAAAAGAUAGAUAUGAUGCUAGAUAAAAUCAAUUUUUAUAAUAUUAUUAAAGACCAGCACUUUUCACCGUUACCACAGGAAUGUUAAACAUAAAGAAGAUCUCGUUGAUCCAACCAAUUUGCCAUAGACACCCACGUAAUCCACCCACGUAAUCUACCCAACAAUCUACCUUUAAAAGA
Long non-coding RNA from Apis dorsata (giant honeybee), 192 nucleotides. RefSeq lists it as uncharacterized. The transcript has 2 exons. NCBI's taxonomy places the organism in Eukaryota, Metazoa, Arthropoda, Insecta, Hymenoptera, Apidae. The record is from RefSeq and is a predicted model, not a curated record.